ACGGGAGGCAGCAGCUAAGAAUAUUCCGCAAUGGGGGGAACCCUGACGGAGCGACGCCGCGUGGGCGAUGAAGGCCGGAAGGUUGUAAAGCCCUUUUAUGGCAGAGGAAGAAGGAGGGGAGGGAAUGCCCCUCCGGUGACUGUAGGCCAUGAAUAAGCACCGGCUAAUUACGUGCCAGCAGCCGCGGUAACACGUAAGGUGCGAGCGUUGUUCGGAAUCAUUGGGCGUAAAGGGCGUGCAGGCGGACCCGCAAGCCGGGAGUGAAAUACCGGGGCUCAACCCCGGGGCUGCUCCCGGAACUGCGGGACUGGAGUCGCUGAAGGGGAGCCGGAAUUCCAGGUGUAGGGGUGAAAUCUGUAGAUAUCUGGAAGAACACCAAUGGCGAAGGCAGGCUCCUGGCAGACGACUGACGCUGAGACGCGAAGGUGCGGGGAGCAAACAGGAUUAGAUACCCUGGUA
RNAcentral lists this ribosomal RNA (459 nucleotides) under uncultured Treponema sp. Its description in RNAcentral is "bacterial SSU rRNA". It matches the Rfam family "Bacterial small subunit ribosomal RNA", at positions 341 to 792 of the family's 1533-position model. The record is from RNAcentral. Lineage: Bacteria; Pseudomonadati; Spirochaetota; Spirochaetia; Treponematales; Treponemataceae.